RNAcentral lists this ribosomal RNA (303 nucleotides) under Triticum aestivum (bread wheat). Its description in RNAcentral is "partial small subunit ribosomal RNA". Lineage: Eukaryota; Viridiplantae; Streptophyta; Magnoliopsida; Poales; Poaceae. The record is from RNAcentral.
AUGCCUAAACUGGAAAAGUCCUAUCUCAGCUGCCAGCCAACAUUCUCUGUUAGCCAUCUAUGCCAGUUUGUUGCUCUUCAGCUUUCACGUCAAGCCGCAGAGGUGGAGAUAUACUUCAGGAAGAACUCCAUAAACGGGUCGCUUAAAACCGAAGACACCAGCGCAGACAACGAGGCAAAAAUGGAGCGGCUCGACGGCCUGGAAAGACUCAAGGAAGAGAGUUCGCUUUUCGAGCUUUACCCUAUGCUCGCCUCUGGUGUUGGAGACCUGGAGCUAUUGUACUCUGUGAAAGCGCAAGGCUAG